UACUUAAAAAGUGCAAUUGAGCUCUCAUGCAUUCCCCUUCCAACAUAGAGACGAGGCUGAGACCACCACAUCAUGAGCAUCACAAUUUUAUAAUUUGACCGCUCAAGAACCCGGCGAACGAAUGGGAACAGAAAUAACAAUGCAGAGAGUAUGUUUGGAGAUAAAUAAAUAAGGAUGGCCAAAAUGAACAAAGAAGGUGAACUUGGACUAUUGCCAAACCAUUUCUUAAUGGUCUGGCCAAGUCCAGGAGGAUUUUCCCAACUAUAAGCAUAAGUAACAGGUAGAACUAUGACCCAUGCUGCAGCUGAAAGAACCUUCAAAAUGUAUCUUAGUUUGACAUAAAAUGGCAUGGCCUGCUUUGCCUUCCAGCUCAGAAUUACAUCAAUCACAGCUUGUGCAAAAUUUAAUAUAGCAGAAGUUAUGAAGAUGCUUAGAACUUUCUUGAAAACAUCACCCUCAAAUAUGGAACUCAAUUUGCCUGAUCCAUUCCAACCAAUGAUGAUCAUCGCCUGUAAACACAAAAUAAAAAAGCUCCACAUUCUAUCAAAACUUCUGAA
RNAcentral lists this unclassified non-coding RNA (557 nucleotides) under Hevea brasiliensis (rubber tree). Lineage: Eukaryota; Viridiplantae; Streptophyta; Magnoliopsida; Malpighiales; Euphorbiaceae. The record is from RNAcentral.